UACGUAGGGUGCAAGCGUUGUCCGGAAUUAUUGGGCGUAAAGAGCUCGUAGGCGGUUUGUUGCGUCGGCUGUGAAAUCCCGAGGCUCAACCUCGGGUCUGCAGUCGAUACGAGCAAACUAGAGUGUUGCAGGGGAGACUGGAAUUCCUGGUGUAGCGGUGAAAUGCGCAGAUAUCGGGAGGAACACCGGUGGCGAAGGCGGGUCUCUGGGCAACAACUGACGCUGAGACGCGAAAGCUAGGGGAGCGAACAGG
This 253-nucleotide ribosomal RNA is filed under the name uncultured bacterium. RNAcentral describes it as "partial 16S ribosomal RNA". It matches the Rfam family "Bacterial small subunit ribosomal RNA", at positions 524 to 776 of the family's 1533-position model. The record is from RNAcentral.